This 1879-nucleotide long non-coding RNA is filed under the name Pan troglodytes (chimpanzee). RNAcentral's name for it is "long non-coding RNA NONPTRT006098". The record is from RNAcentral. Lineage: Eukaryota; Metazoa; Chordata; Mammalia; Primates; Hominidae.
UUUUUUUUUUUUUUUGAUACAGUUUGACUCUGUCACCCAGGAUGAAGUGCAAUGGCAUGAUCUUGGCUUACUGCAACCUCCGCCUCCCGGGUUCAAAUGAUUCUCAUGCCUCAGCUUCCCAAGUAGCUGAGAUUACAGUGGCGCGCCACCAUGCCUGGCUAAUUUUUUUUUGUAUUAUUAGUAGAGAUAGGGUUUCACCAUGUUGGCCAGGCUGGUGUCAAACUCCUGACCUCACGUGAUUGACCCACCUCAGCCUCUGAAAGUGCUGGGAUUACAGGCGUGAGCCACCAUGCCCAGCGUAUUGACUGAAGUUUUCUGUAAGGAAGAGCUGUCCCUUCUCCACCAUUAAUCAAUUCAAUUAUUUAUGUCAUUAUGGACUCCUGGAUAUUGAUAUUAUUCCAUGGGUUACAAAUCAAAAUGAUCAUUAUUUAUAUUGUUGUUCAAGUGAUACCAGCCUUGGCCUCUUAAAAGUUUUAAAUUAUACAAGUAAAAUAUAUCCUCAUUCUAAAAUUUUCAAACACAAAGCAAAACCUCUUUCUCUCCUUAAUCUUCAAUCUUACUUUUCUCUACCUGCCCAUCACCGCUCCCCGGGGUAGGCAAGUCUCUUGCGCUGGCUUGUGCUGUCCUACUUCUUAUUUUGUAAACAUAAAUGGGAUCACAAAACUUAUUUUCUGCAACUUGCAUCUUUCACUCUGUCCUAUGGCUUAGAGCAGUGCUAUUCUAGGUGCGGGCCAUAGACCUUUUCUCCUAGUAAAGGGGGCCUUUAUUUCCAUGUCUGUACUGCUGCCUGCCCCCUGUAGACCCAGGACGCAGCUCAGAGGGGACAGGGGCAGCUGUGGCAGGGGGCUGGGCCCGCUCAGAUGCUCGUCCUCCUAGUGCCAAGGCCCAGGCAGCCUGGUGUCUGUCUGAUGGACCAGGGCCUGGGGAAAAGUGAGGAAAAGCUGGGGAAAGCUGGGCAGGAUAGACUGGAACAGCAGCCAGGACUCCAUGCCCCUGGAGGGCAUCUUUUAGAAAUACCCACAUUUAUAGAUGAAAUAAUGUGGCAUCAGAAAUUGGUCUCAAAUUAAUUUAGAUUGUCUCCUGAUUUUCACUCUUACAUCUCUCCUGUGCUUUCAUGCAGGGUGGGACUGCUGAGGGGAAGGAUUGGGCACUUCUUAUUUUAACAGGCAACUGUUACUCUAUUUUCUGACUAUGGAUUAAGAGGCACUGUGAACUUCAAACAAACAGAGCAGAAGGUGAAGCUGUGAGCUGCCAAAAAGCUUUCCGCUGCUGCAUUGGCCGGGAAUCAAACCCGGGCCUCCCGCGUGGCAGGCGAGAAUUCUACCACUGAACCACCAAUGCUCCAGCUGAGUGCUGUUCUGCCUCCAGCUGUUUUGUUGCUCCGAUUCACAGUGGUGAUGGCACAGCUGUAACCUGACACCUGAGAUGGGUCCAGCAUGGACAGCUGCUGGAUUUUACCAGCCAAACCCAUGGGAGGAGGUGGGGCAUGCAUGCUUGACAUUCUGCUCAGCUGUUCAAAAGAGAAGUCCAUGAAUGGCAAUGGGAGAAUGCUCAGCAAUUCUUUUGGCUCCUGUGGGCAGGUUCCAGACCUUACUCUGUUAUCCUUAAAGAUCUGAGUAGGCUUAGUCUUCCCUAUAAAAAAUUUCUUGACAAAUUAGCUGAAACUGUCAUUCACUUGUUUCUCUUGUUUUAUGGCCUUGUGGGUUAUUCUACUGAAUGCUGUGAUUUCUUUUACCACUGGUUGAUUUGUCUUGUUUUGCUGUCUUGCCUCCUUGACUAGACUGUAAGCCUCUGGAGCACAAGGACUUUGUCUGGUAAACACAACUUGAUGUAUAACAGAUGUUUGCUAAAUGUUAGAUUUGUAAUAAAUGGAAUUUAA